GACGAACGCUGGCGGCGUGCCUAAUACAUGCAAGUAGAACGCUGAAGGAGGAGCUUGCUUCUCUGGAUGAGUUGCGAACGGGUGAGUAACGCGUAGGUAACCUGCCUGGUAGCGGGGGAUAACUAUUGGAAACGAUAGCUAAUACCGCAUAGAGUAGAUGUUGCAUGACAUUUGCUUAAAAGGUGCAAUUGCAUCACUACCAGAUGGACCUGCGUUGUAUUAGCUAGUUGGUGGGGUAACGGCUCACCAAGGCGACGAUACAUAGCCGACCUGAGAGGGUGAUCGGCCACACUGGGACUGAGACACGGCCCAGACUCCUACGGGAGGCAGCAGUAGGGAAUCUUCGGCAAUGGACGGAAGUCUGACCGAGCAACGCCGCGUGAGUGAAGAAGGUUUUCGGAUCGUAAAGCUCUGUUGUAAGAGAAGAACGAGUGUGAGAGUGGAAAGUUCACACUGUGACGGUAUCUUACCAGAAAGGGACGGCUAACUACGUG
RNAcentral lists this ribosomal RNA (494 nucleotides) under uncultured bacterium. RNAcentral's name for it is "partial 16S ribosomal RNA". It matches the Rfam family "Bacterial small subunit ribosomal RNA", at positions 28 to 507 of the family's 1533-position model. The record is from RNAcentral.